GGGUGGUGAGAAAUUUAGCAAGAGUUGCUAGUGUGCCCUAGGGUUUGGUUUUUCCAUAUGUUAGAGCCAAAAAUCAAAUCCUAAGUUGUGAGACAUCUAAAGAGUAUCUUCUUGAUGUAAUCUUGGUGGCAAGCUUGGAGGUGAUUGGGCUUUGGUGCAAUCAUACUAUGAGUUCGAAGCCGACAGUAUUCUUGAGAAGACAAGGCUACGGUAGCACACCAGUUAGGAAGGACCGUGGCCAACUUCUGUGUGGAUCACCAUUGGAGGACUUCUAUUUUGGAGUCUCAUGGAGAACACCAACA
RNAcentral lists this long non-coding RNA (302 nucleotides) under Elaeis guineensis (African oil palm). RNAcentral's name for it is "long non-coding RNA (EGUI_LNC070475)". Lineage: Eukaryota; Viridiplantae; Streptophyta; Magnoliopsida; Arecales; Arecaceae. The record is from RNAcentral.